GCGAGGUUGUAGUUGAUGUUGA
This 22-nucleotide non-coding RNA is filed under the name Arabidopsis thaliana (thale cress). Lineage: Eukaryota; Viridiplantae; Streptophyta; Magnoliopsida; Brassicales; Brassicaceae. The record is from RNAcentral.